GAUGAACGCUAGCGGCAGGCUUAACACAUGCAAGUCGAGGGGCAGCGCGGGGUAGCAAUACCCUGGCGGCGACCGGCGAAAGGGUGAGUAACGCGUGAGCAACGUGCCCGUAUGUGGGGGAUAGUCGAUGGAAACGUCGCGUAAUACCCCGUAAUACAUUCUCCCGCAUGAGAGGAUGUUGAAAGAUUUAUUGCAUACGGAUCGGCUCGCGUGCCAUUAGCUAGUUGGCGGGGUAACGGCCCACCAAGGCGACGAUGGCUAGGGGUUCUGAGAGGAAGGUCCCCCACAUUGGAACUGAGACACGGUCCAGACUCCUACGGGAGGCAGCAGUGAGGAAUAUUGGACAAUGGCCGGAAGGCUGAUCCAGCCAUGCCGCGUGCGGGAAGACGGCCCUAUGGGUUGUAAACCGCUUUUGUUGGGGAGCAAUAAGGAGCACGUGUGCUUCGAUGAGAGUACCCAGCGAAUAAGCAUCGGCUAACUCCGUGCCAGCAGCCGCGGUAAUACGGAGGAUGCGAGCGUUAUCCGGAUUUAUUGGGUUUAAAGGGUGCGUAGGCGGAUUUUUAAGCGUGAGGUGAAAUGCCCGGGCUCAACCUGGGAACUGCCUCGCGAACUGGAAGUCUGGAAUGUCCGUGCCGUGGGAGGAAUGUGUGGUGUAGCGGUGAAAUGCAUAGAGAUUACACAGAACACCGAUUGCGAAGGCAUCUCACGAAGGGUUGAUUGACGCUGAGGCACGAAAGCGUGGGGAUCAAACA
This 752-nucleotide ribosomal RNA is filed under the name uncultured bacterium. RNAcentral describes it as "bacterial SSU rRNA". It matches the Rfam family "Bacterial small subunit ribosomal RNA", at positions 28 to 774 of the family's 1533-position model. The record is from RNAcentral.